UUGGUCCUCCACCCAAGGUCUGCCAAAUUGUAGAGGUUUGUGCAUUGCUGCACAACAUCUGCAAAGCAAGAAACAUCAUUCUUCCUGAGGAAGAAGAACAUCUUGCUGCAGCCGAGGAUGGAGGCAAUGAGGAGCGACCCCCAGCACAGAAAGUUCAAAGUCACCAUGAAGGAAUCCUUUACAGGGAUGAAUUUGUUGUGCUUCACUUAAACAUUGAUGAGUGAUGAGACACCAGUGUCAUGACUGCUGAGAUUGGCGUUAAUCUCAUGUGGAUGAUCUCCUCCUCAUCCACAUAGACCAGUGAUGUACCAGGCAAGUCUGGCCCCUGUUGGUGCCACAUCACUGGUGCUGGAAGUGGUGUGGCAGGUGUCUCCUCCUCAACACCUACUGCCUCGGUCAUCACUUCUCUCUGUUGGGCUGCCUCUGCCACUUCCCCAGCAUCAUCUGCUGCCUGAACACUGCUGGUAUCAUUAGUUCUAACUUCAGAAACUAACCUGAUAAUGUUUUUGGUUUUAUUGCUAAGGACAAAAGUAACAGAAACCAGUAAAUCUAGCUAAGGGUACAAUGUGUUUGACUUAAAUCCUAUUCUGUUUGAAGGAAGCCCAUGUCUAAGAAACUGUAAAUACCUAAGACUCAUUAUCAUUAACACAUUCACCCACUACAACACCAUACUUAUGAAUAGGGAGAAGGGAUAGGAAUUAAGUUAACUUUAUUAGUUUUUUUUCUUUUCUUAUUACUGUUUUAUCUGUUUGGUUAAAGAAUAAAAUAAAAAAAAAAUAAAU
Long non-coding RNA from Portunus trituberculatus (swimming crab), 782 nucleotides. RefSeq lists it as uncharacterized. The transcript has 3 exons. The record is from RefSeq and is a predicted model, not a curated record. Lineage: Eukaryota; Metazoa; Arthropoda; Malacostraca; Decapoda; Portunidae.